AUGGGCAAAGGAGAUCCUAAGAAGCUGAGAGGCAAAAUGUCAUCAUAGGCAUUUUUUGUGCAAACUUGUCGGGAAGAGCAUAAGAAGCAGCACCCAGAUGCUUCAGUCAACUUCUCAGAGUUUUCUAAGUGCUCAGAGAGGUGGAAGACCAUAUCUGCUAAAGAGAAAGGAAAAUUUGAAGAUAUGGCAAAGGUGGACAAGGCCCGUUAUGAAAGAGAAAUGAAAACCUAUAUCCCUCCCAAAGGGGAGACAAAACAGAAGUUCAAGGAUCCCAAUGCACCUAAGAGGCCUCCUUCAGCCUUCUUCCUGUUCUGCUCUGAGUAUUGCCCAAAAAUCAAAGGAGAACAUCCUGGCCUGUCCAUUGGUGAUGUUGCAAAGACUCUGGGAGAGAUGUGGAAUAACACUGCUGCAGAUGACAAGCAGUCUUAUGAAAAGAAGGCUGCAAAGCUGAAGGAAAAAUACGAAAAGGAUAUUGCUGCAUAUCGAGCUAAAGGAAAGCCUGAUGCAGCAAAAUAGAGAGUUGUCAAGGCUGAAAAAAGCAAGAAAAAGAAGGAAGAGGAGGAAGAUUAGGAAGAUGAAGAGGAUGAGGAGGAGGAGAAGGUGAAGAAGAUGAAGAUGAAGAAGAUGAUGAUGAUGAAUAAGUUGGUUCUAGCGCAGUUUCUUUCUUGUCUAUAAAGCAUUUAACCCCCCUGUACACAACUCACCCCUUUUAAAGAAAAAAAUUGAAACGUAAGGCUGUGUAAGGUUUGUUUUUAAACUGUACAGUGUCUUUUUUUGUAUAGUUAACACACUACCAAAUGUGUCUUUAGAUAGCCCUGUCCUGGUGGUAUUUUCAAUAGCCACUAACCUUGCCUGGUACAUUAUGGGGGUUGUACAUUGGCAUGGAAAUUUAAAGCAGGUUCUUGUUGGUGCACAGCACAAAUUAGUUAUAUAUGGGGAUGGUAGUUUUUUCAUCUUCGGUUGUCUCUGACGCAGCUCAUGCGAAAUAAUUGUUCUGUUAACUGAAUACCACUCUGUAAUUGCAAAAAAAAAAAAAAAAAGUUGCAGCUGUUUAGUUGACAUUCUGAAUGCUUCUAAGUAAAUACAAUUAUUUUUAUUAGUAUUGUUGUGCUUUUCAUAGGUCUAAAAUUUUUCUUCUUGAGGGGAAGCUAGUGUUUUGCUUUUGCCCAUUUUGAAUCAUAUGAA
RNA transcript from Mandrillus leucophaeus (drill), 1185 nucleotides. It is a transcript of the gene named high mobility group protein B1 pseudogene, with no coding region annotated. Lineage: Eukaryota; Metazoa; Chordata; Mammalia; Primates; Cercopithecidae. The record is from RefSeq and is a predicted model, not a curated record. The transcript has a single exon.